This is a long non-coding RNA of Mangifera indica (mango), 733 nucleotides long. RefSeq lists it as uncharacterized. The record is from RefSeq and is a predicted model, not a curated record. NCBI's taxonomy places the organism in Eukaryota, Viridiplantae, Streptophyta, Magnoliopsida, Sapindales, Anacardiaceae. The transcript is spliced from 2 exons.
UCUGCCUUGAUUAAGUUUCUAUCUAUUCUUACAUGCCUCACUUGAUCAUGCUACAUAAGAUUAUGGUAAGAGAACUCUCGAUAAAUAAAAUAUGAUUGCAGACACUGAUUAGUAGUGUUAUUCUUUUUUUAAUUUUUUAUUUGUGGCGAUAGUGUAGUUGUCGUGGACGCAGUUGGUCUUGGAGCUCAAGGAAGUAAUGGGUUUAUAGCUGCUGAUAUUUAGUGUUCUUCGCUCAUUUUUUAUGUGCCUAUUAUAUCUACAUGAGAGGGCCUCUUCUUUCUGGAAGGAUGCAAACAGGCUAUUAGUGUUGGCUGAUACUGUGAUGUUUCUAUUUGCCCCUGAAGAUACCAUUCUGAGCUGUGCCAAUGUAUUGGUGUCUGCAGUUGCCCCUGCAAGUCUUUCACCAUUGUUCCAAACUGGAAAUUCUGGUUGGCCAGAUAUGUUCAAAUUGCCAGCUGCUAUUGUCGUUGCAUCAUUUAAUUGGUAAAUAUACCUCACACAUCACAUUUCUUUGACAGUAAUAUGCAUUGGAUUAUGGCUUUUCUUUUUAGGCCCUGUCAGGCAAGAUGUUCCUCACACUACAGAUGCAUAUUAUGUUAUUUUAAUCAACGGAGUUGUUUCAAAAGCUUUACCUUUGACUGUUCAGAACAGUGCUGCUAAAACUUUAGUUGCUCUACUUAAAUUUCCAGUUUCCAUAUCAUUUUUAACCAAAACUAUAAAUCAAGUUGUUUCA